RNAcentral lists this long non-coding RNA (864 nucleotides) under Sus scrofa (pig). Its description in RNAcentral is "lncRNA (ENSSSCG00035010623.1)". The record is from RNAcentral. Lineage: Eukaryota; Metazoa; Chordata; Mammalia; Artiodactyla; Suidae.
CUUUUUAAAGGUAAGAAAUGGAAGCGAGAGCACUUCGCCACUGCUUGGCAAGUACUGUGGGACUCUGCUGCCAAAUCCCAUUUUCUCUCAGAGUCGUGACCUGUACCUGCGGUUUAAGAGCGAUAGUGCAACUUCGGGUCGUGGCUAUGAAAUCAUCUGGACCUCAUCACCCUCUGGCUGUGGCGGGACUCUUUAUGGAGACAGCGGCUUGGUCACCAGCCCUGGCUAUCCCGGCACUUACCCCAACCACACUCACUGCGAAUGGGUCAUCAUUGCUCCUGGUGGAAGACCUGUCACUGUCAGCUUUUCCUUUAUCAGCAUUGACGACCCCGGAGAGUGUGUCCAGAACUACCUCAUGCUCUACGAUGGACCUGAUGCAAAUUCUCCAUCCUCUGGACCAUACUGUGGCGCAGACACGGACGUAGCUCCCUUCGCGGCCUCCUCCCAUCGGGUCUUCAUCAGGUUUCACGCCGAGGCGGCGGCCCGGCCGUCGGCGCUCCGCUUGACCUGGGCCAGCUGAAUGGCCUGGGGCGGCCCUGGUUCGUCCCGCGGGGGCCGGGCCCUCAGACCUCAGGCUGGACAGAAUUCUGCCGCCCUGAUCCCUGACCCCCUAGCCUGUGCCACGGAGAAGAACGUGUGUGCUGUUCAUCAAAGUUGGGGAAUCAGUGUUUGUGUGUACUUUUUGAACGUGGGAUGUAGCUUCUUUAGUCUCAUACUUUGAGCCAGAAUUGUCUAAAACCCCUUUAAGAGUUGGAAAUGAGUAUGGCUUAUGUGCGGUACAUUUUCAAAAGUUAAUUAAACAGGAUAAGUACGAUGUUCAGGGUCAGUGUCAAAUCGGGGGUGAUAAACUGUUGAAAUUAAGCC